GUGCUCAUUUCAGCAGCACAUAUACUAAAAUAGGAACGAUACAGAGAAGAUUAGCAUGGCCCCUGUUCAAGGAUGCAAUGUCCUCUCAAUCAUCAUCAUUUAU
Small nuclear RNA from Macaca fascicularis (crab-eating macaque), 103 nucleotides. The record is from Ensembl. NCBI's taxonomy places the organism in Eukaryota, Metazoa, Chordata, Mammalia, Primates, Cercopithecidae.